CAGUCUGUCAGUACUGCCUCAGACAGUUAGUUGUAGACACAAGAUGACACGGUGUCUUUACCUUUUCCUGUGUUUUUUGGAGCAUUUCCAAAAGAUCCUGUUUGUCGGAUCAGAGGAGACUCCGACUUUUGGAUCCAAAAAUAUUCCCAGACUUCUGCGCAAAGAUGUCAUCAGAGGAGGUUUUAAAUACCCAGUCCAUCAAAACCACACGAUUUUAUGUUAUCAUGAAGAGUCUGGAGAGAUGUAUGUCGGGGGCAGCGAUUUUGUGUUAAAGCUUGACUCUGAUGGCUAUCAAAUAACAAAGACAUUCCAUCUUAAUGCCACAAGCGACCAGCAAUGCCAAGAGGGCCCUUGUUGUAACAUUAUCACUGUCAUCGAGAGGUUUGAGGACAUCCUUUUGGUCUGCGGGACCAACGGUCACAGCCCACACUGCUGGAAGCUUUCUCCUGACAUAGUGGAGGAUUACGAAGGGACGGGUAUUUCACCGUUCAUGCAUACACAGAACUCGCUGUCUCUUCAAGUUGAGGGUGAUCUAUAUGCUGCAGCUCCACUGGAUACUGACGGAAGCGCCUUGCAGUUCAGACGGAAAGCCGGAAACAGACCCAAUAUCUGGAUGUAUGACAGCUGGGUGUCAGAGCCUACAUUUGUCUCUGCAUCCUGGGUGCAGCGGAAAGACGACCCUGACAAUGAAAAGAUUUACAUUUUUUUUCGUGAAAAGAACUCCGACCACAACCCGGAGGCUGAUCCGUGGAUUUCCAGGGUGGCCCGAGUCUGUAAGAUAGAUGAAGGCGGAUCAAAACGAUUCUUCCAGAACAUGUGGACAUCGUUUCUCAAGGCUCGGCUGAUCUGUGGCUUCCCAGAGGAGUCCCUCUACUUCAACCGCCUGCAGGACGUCUACGUGCAGCACGCCGAGGACUGGCGUGACACGAGAGUCUACGCCCUCUUCACCAGCAGCUGGAACUCCACUGCCAUUUGCAUUUAUUCAAUACAGACCAUUGAAGGCAUUUUUGACAACUCCACCUUCAAAGGCUAUGACAAAGCUAUUCCACAACCAAGGCCAGGCACAUGUGUAAAAAACAGCCGCAGCUUACCGCUGGCCACAGUCAGUGUGGUGAGAGAUCAUCCUGAAAUUAGCGACUGGGUCUACAAAACUCCUUUUUAUGUCAGCAACAACAACUACACCAAGAUAGUAGUGGACCGCGUCCAGGCAGUGGACGACAUGUACAACAUUCUGCUGCUCGCCACUGAUUCCGGAAGGAUCCAUAAGAUUCUCGAGGCCGGUUCUGAACCUUUCAUCAUCUCCGAAACCCAGAUUCUAAAUCAGUCCCCCGUACAGUCCAUGAAACUGGACUCCAAAAAGAAAAAACUAGUUGUGAGUUUUGCAGAGAAAAUCUCUGUGAUGGACCUCCAGAGUUGUCAAGAAUACAACAAAUCCUGUGCGGACUGCGUCCUCGCCCGGGACCCGUACUGUUCCUGGACUACAUCCGGAUGCGUGCCAACCACUGAGGGGAUUCAAAAUAUUCGAGAUGGGCACACCUAUGUCUGCCAUACAGGUCUGCCAUCAGGUAUUGAAUAUGACAUCCUUUUUUCAAAAUGCAAAAUUACUGUUGAGGAUCUUUUUGUGUCCUUAAAACACACUCAAGUCAACCGGACCAGACGGGACACCGCACCGCCUGUGGAUGUGAAUUUGCUAACUCUGCCCGCUGUGCCUGGGUGUGUCCCGUUUUACCUGUCGUGCCCCAUUGACUCCUACCAUGCCGUCUACAUGUGGAAGCACAUGGACCAGAGCAGCCCGUGUCUGCAGAUGCACACCGUCUGCCUCUUCCUCAUCCCCGCUGUGACCCCGGAGAGCUACGGCAGCUACGAGUGUGUUUCCAAGGAGAGGGACCACGUCGGCGUGGUGAAGAGGUAUCAUCUAACGCAGCAAAUCGACCAACGAAGCAGGACUAAUGGCGGUAAAGCAUCAGCUGUGGCAGCGGAGAUUGUGUGUGUUGCACUAGUACUUUUUGUUGCCUUGUUGAACGCUUAAUGUUUUCCAGAUUCAAUUCUCAACACCGUUCAUUAAGCUUAGAGAAGCCACUGUGUCAUCCAAAAUUGUUCAGCAUAAUUUUUCAAAGGGUUCAAUUCUAAUUAAUCAGUUCCAGAGUCAAACUUACUGAAAAUCAAUUUAGGGGCAAUGUUUGAAGUUCCAGUUUAGUACAAAACCCAAAACCAGUGAAGUUAGCACGUUGUAGAAAUCGUAAAUAAAAACAGAAUACGAGGAUUUGCUAAUCCUUUUCAACCUUCAACUGAAUAGACUGCAAAGACAAGAUAUUUAACGUUCGAAUUGGAAAAUGUUGUUAUUCUUUGGAACUUUAUGCCUGCAACAUGUUUCAAAAAAGCUACGACAAGUGGCAUAAAAGACUGAGAAAGUUAAGGAAUGCUCAUCAAACACUUAUUUGGAACAUCACAGGUGAAGAGACUAAUUUGGAAUAGGUAAGUGCCGUGAUUGGGUAUGAAAGCAGCUUCUAUGAAGUGCUCAGUCAUUCACAAACAAGGAUGGGGCGAGGGUCACCGCUUUGUGAACAAAUGUGUGAGCUAAUUGUUGAACAGUUUAAGAACAACAUUUCUCAACGAGCUAUUGCAAAAAUUUGGGGAUUUCAGCAUCUACGGUCCGUAAUAUCAUCAAAAGGUGCAGAGAAUCUGGAGAAAUCAAGCCACGUAAGCGAUGAUAUUACGGACCUUUGAUGCCUUAGGCGGUACUGCAUCAAAAAGCUACAUCAGUGUGUAAGGAUUAUCACCACAUGGGCUUUGGAACACUUUAGAAAACCACUGUCAGAAACUACAGUUGGUCGCUACAUUUGUAAGUGCAAGUUAAAACUCUACUAUGCAAAGCCAUAGCCAUUUAUCAACAACACCCAGAAGCGCCGCCGGCUUUACUGGGCCCGAGCGCAUCUAAGAUGGACUGAUGCAAAGUGGAAAAAUGUUCUGUGGUCUGAUGAGUCCACAUUUCAAAUUGUUUUUGGAAACUCUGGACGUUGUGUUUACCGAGUGGUGUAAAAAAAGGAAAGGCCAUGUAACAGUGGUAAAAAUGCCCCUGUGCCAACUCUUUUGCAAUGUGUUGCUGCCAUUCUAAGUUAAUGAUUAUUUGCAAAAACAAAUUAUGUUUCUCAUGAAUAUCUGCGUUCCGCCCGAUUGUACCUGAAAUAGGCGCCAGCGCCCCCCGCGACCCCAAAAGGGAAUAAGGGCUAGAAAAUGGAUGGAUGAAUAUCUUGUUUUUGCAGUAUGUUCAAUUAAAUAUAAGUUGAAAAGGAAUUGCAAAUCAUUGUAUUCUGUUUAUAGUUACGAUUUUCACAACGUGCCAACUUCACUGAAUUUGGGUUUUGUAUUAUAAAUUGUUAAACAAGUGUAAAAAUAAGUUAACCAAUGCUGCGUAAUGCAGUGUGCAACAUUUGCUUAGGCAAAGUGCAUGCUUAGACUCUUUUUGAGUUAUCCAUCAUAUGCUGAGCAGCCUGGACCGAUUUAAAAAAAAAAAGGAAACAGGACCGGUUUAACUCGAAUGUUUAUUCUACUGAACAACCAGGACAGAGGCAUGUGUCUUUUGAUUUUCAAUAUGCACGGCUCGACCUCAAUAUAUCCUACUGAGAACCCGCGUCCACUGGCCAUUUGUGUUUUGCAUACCGUACCAUAUUUCAUAUCCGAAAUGUGUAUCUCUGACAAAGAAAAUAGACCUGAGAAGCAAAUGUCCACUGCGUUGGACGCUGGUUCUCAGGAGGAAAUAUGACCCUUACGUGUUUCGAUUUCGGGGGUUCCGUUGCAAAGUAAGCCGACGGAAUGACGGGAGGUUGUGUUUGCUCCAUGACUCUCUGUACUGGUAAACACAAGUGGACCUUUUGUUAACCAGCACUCACAGGCCCAACUGACUGAGCCAAUGAACAAUAGUAUUAAACACUAACAGAACUGGCAACACCCUCACCUUGCAGCAAACCUUUUUUUUCCAAAUUUUCUCAAGGAACAAUGCUAAUAUGAAAUGAAUGACCUGAAACGCAUAUAUAAUAUAGAGUAGUCAGUGUACAGCUUUACUAUCCACUGAAAAUGAGUCAACAACACCCAGACAUUAUUGUCUAAAUAGGUGUCAACUUGAGUGGGUGGCAUGAUGAUUAUGUCUUGCCUGCAGUCAAGUAUGGUGUCAUGGUCUGGGGCUGCAUGAGUGCUGACGGCACAGGGAAGCUACGGUUCAUGGAGGCGACUUUGUAGCCAAAGUGACAUUGCAUUGUUUUAGACAGUGGAAGAGACAAAAAAGUGAGAAAAAAUAUAAAAAGCAAAAAUAUGAAUUGAAAUACAAAUUAACUAUUUGGGGCGGUAUAGCGGGGGGGCGCUGGUGCCUAUUUCAGCUACUAUCGGGCGGAAGGCGGUGUACACCCUGGACAAGUCGCCACCUCAUCACAGGGCCAACACAGAUAGACAGACAACAUUCACACUCACAUUCACCCCAAAGGGAAUAAAAGGUAGAAAAUGGAUGGAUGGAUGGGGCGGUAUAUCUCGGUUGGUAGAGUGGUUUUGCCAGCAGCUUGAGGGUUCCCAGUUCGAUCCCUGCUUCCGCCAUCCUAGUCCCUGCCGUUGUGUCCUUGGGCAAGACACUUUACUCACCUGCUCCCAGUGCCACCCACACUGGUUUAAAUGUAACGUAGAUAUUGGGUUUCACUAUGCAAAAGCACUUUGAGUCACUAGAGAAAAGCGCAAAAAAAUAAAAAAAUCACUAAUUAAUUCAUUAAUAUUCUUAUGUCGCUUCAUUUUUCGGGGUGGGGGGAGUAGAGUUAUGUCACAAACAAUAUGGAGAUGCGUAUAAGUGCUUUUAGAUGGGAGUGGGGCAAUAUUUGAUUUCAUGUUAAGAGUCUCAAAAAGUGUCCGAAUCGUCGUUAACUUUAUUGUCAGUCACCAACCAAAUUCAAAAAAAUCAGACGGUGUUGUAUUUUAAUAGCUUUGUGGCUCAACUUUGCCGUUUAAAAGGGCGUCCGCCAGGUUUUUUUUUUGCAUGCGCAAGUUUAACGCAUGAGGCCCCUGGUCCGUGUGAGGUGUGUUAUCACGGUCCUAUUCACAGACAGUGCCAUUACCAUGUGCUUUUGAGCAAAGGCGAACAAGUAUUGCCAAAUCAAUUUGUACACCUGGUGGGCCGGCACGAUUCCAAACUAACUGAACACCUGUCUGACAUCUUCCAGCGGAAGAAAGUUGAAUGUGUCCUCGCUUGUGUCGCCAUUAUUUGGACACCAAUAGCUGUGUGUCGACUUUUUAUUUAUCUAUAUGAAUCUAUACUGCGUUACAAGCUGUACACCGACUACUCUAAAGCAGUGUUUUUCAACCUUUUGUGAGCCGAGGCACAUUUUUUGCAUUGAAAAAUCCGGAGGCGCACCACCAGCAGAAAUUAUUAAAAAAACAAAACUCAGUUGACAGUAAAAAGUCGUUGCUGUUGGAUACGACUUUAAACCAUAACCAAGCAUGCAUCACUAUAGCUCUUGUCUCAAAGUAGGUGUACUGUCACCACCUGUCACAUCACCCCCUGAGUUUUUUUUACUGUUUUCCUGUGUGUAGUGUUUUAGUUCUUGUCUUGGUGGCUUUUUUCUUUUUUUUUGUAUUUUCCUGUAGCAGUUUUUUGUCUUCCUUUCAGCGAUAUUUCCCGCAUCUACUUUGUUUUAGCACUCUUGAAUAUUUCAGUUGUUUUUAUCAUUCUUUGUGGGGACAUUGUUAAUUGUCGUGUCAUGUUCAGAUGUACACUGUGGACACCGUCUUUGCUCCACAAGUGGUGAGUCAGUGAGUCAGUGAUGUGGUGAGGCAUGCACAUGUUGAGGCAAGUGAUUUAGUCCACCGGGUCCUCUUUGCAAUCUGGCACUAGUGUAUUGUGUGCAAAUGGACGGAGUUGCUUCAAAGAAUGUCCUUGUUUUGUUUCCCCUCACACCAACACCACCUACCUCUACUGAGGACCACACCCUAUGGUCAGGGAAGCCUUUUAUCAACAUGCAAUAGAACAAGCUUGGUACAGUAGUUGAGUAGACAACCUUUAACCUCCGUGAGUGAUAUAUUUAAGUGUGUCGGGCAAAAGUCUUGGGCCGCCACUAAUUGUGUUUUUAAUGAACUUUUUCAAAGGAAUCAUUUUGACUCAUAGCCUACAAAACCGACCUAACUUUGGCAUCAAGGCAUCAACACUAUGCGGCUGUUUAGGACCACAACCACUAGGACAGGGGUCGGCAACCCAACAUGUUGAAAGAGCCAUAUUGCACCAAAAAUACGAAAAACAGAUCUGUCCAGAGCCGCAAAAAAUGUAAAGUCUUAUAUAAUGAAGGCAACACAUGAUGAAAGUGUCUAUAUUAGCUAUAUUAGCCUACUAUGAAAAUGACUUUAAAAGUCUUAUAAAACUGUUAUAAUGAAGGCAACCCAUGAUGGAAGUGUCUAUACCAGCUAUAUAAGCCUACUAUCAAAAUGACUUUAAAAGUCUUAUAUAAGUGUUAUAAUGAAGACAACACAUGAUUGAAGUGUCUAUUUAUAUUAGCCUACUAUCAAAAUGACUUUAAAAGUCAUAUAUAAGUGUUAUAAUGAAGACAACACAUGAUGUGAGUGUCUAUUUUAUAUUAGCUUACUAUCAAAAUCAAUUUAGAAGUUUUAUAUAAGUGUUAUAAUGAAGACAAUACAUGAUUGAAGUGUCUAUUUGUAUUAGCCUACUAUCAAAAUGACUUUAAAAGUCUUAUAUAAGUGUUAUAAGGAAGACAACACAUGAUGUAAGUGUCUAUUUAUAUUAGCCUACUAUCAAAAUGACUAUGUGUCACAGACUGAUGCAAAUCUUUGUUGACAGAAAUGUAAUAUUUAUUCUACACAUUUUUAUAACAUAGAAUUUUUUUUUAAUAAAACGUAGGCUUCUCAGAGGGUGAGACAACUCCUGGAAAAUGCUAACUUAGAAUGUGUGUGUCCAAGUUAAAGGAAACGGCUGGUUGUCUUCUAAUGGAUUUAUUGCAAUCUUUGGGUAACCUUCUCUGUGGUCUGGAACAACAUGGCACACAAACAAGUAACAGAAAUGUGUCAUGUGACAUGAAAACAUGUAUUAAAUACAUAGAGGACAUAAAGGAUGUUAAAUGAGCUCAAAUAUACCUACAAUGCUAAAUAGCAUGUUAGCAUCGAUUAGCUUGCAGUCAUGCACUGACCAACAAAGUUCAAGUUAGUGCAUUCACGCACAGCAUAAAACGUUUGGUGGACAAAAUGAGACAAAGGAGUGGCAUAAAACAUGUAUGUCUGUGGCAGCAUCGGAGAAAGUUGUACAUGUAAACUAACUACGAUGAGUUCAAGUACUGCUGAAAUUACUAGGACAAAACGGCGCUCGCCAAAAACUCUCUCCAGUAAAGCAAACAUAUUAAACAGUGGGAUUUUUAACAUUCAGGGAAGGUUUGUGUUAUUUUUGUCCUCCUACAGAAACCACAUUAAGACAAAAAAUGUUUCUUACCUAAUUUUUUGUCAUUUUCAUACAUUUUUGAAAAAGCUCCAGGGAGCCACAAGAGCGUUGCUAAACAGCCACAUCCGGCUCGAGAGCCGCGGGUUGCUGACCCCCCUACUAGGGAGUCACAUGAUCCAGGUUUGUGUAAAGGAUUUUUUAACUUUCAUUAAAAUCUGUCAGUUAUAAAAUACGAUUUUAUAAAAGUUAAGAUCAAAUCAAUGUUGCUGUCAAAGUUCAAUCACAAGGUUGUUUGAAUCAAAGAAACAUUUCACUUGUUUAGCACAUAACUGUGGUGCCGGAGGGUUCAAAAAACCCUGAUUAAGGUUCAAAACAGAGGCACCAGGUCAUUUAAUUUUUAAUUUCGUGAAUUUAUUUUGAACACAAAGAUCUUAUAUAGCAUCUUCAAUUCAAUAUCGCCACUGAAAUAAACAAUCAUGGUAUUAAAAAAAAGAAGAAAAAAAAAACAUGGUGCAUGUCCAAAAUUAGCAGGAAGAAGCCAACGAUUACAUUGUCCUGCCCCCAACUCAGAUAUAAUAAUAAUAAACAUCUGAUUAUUUGUCAACAAUAUAAUACAUAAUAACCUUAUACAACAAUGUCGAUCAAUAAUAAUACAAAAUAAUUACAUCCAUGAGUACAAAGAAUAACAAACUCGGUCAUCAUUUCAUCAAAUGUAGUUUAUAUAAACACUUUAUACCCUUUGUUGUUGUCCCUUUAAAAACAAUUGUAAUAUUUAUUUUUAAUUUUCACUACUUUUUAAAAACAGGGGAGGCCAGACCUAGAUGCACUAAUACUUAUCACAAAAUAUAUAUACUGUAUAUGUAUUUUUGAUAAUUAUCAUCCACUGCUAAUAAUCCUACAUGAAUCAGACAAUAGAAAGAAUCUUGGAGACACUACCAGCUACAUGCAAAAACCUUUUUUAGGUUUUCACGUGUUUUAAAAAGCUAGUUUGAACCAAAUGACGUAAAUAAUUUGUUAUUAGUGCAUCUCGACAUACUGAGUUUGCGUGUGUGAGGCAGUGAUGUUAGGUUUAGGGUGAUGUGGCGGCCCUUUAUGAUUUCCGUAAUAAUAAUAAUAAUAAAUGAUUUAUAUUAAAGACCAAAAUGGGCCCACAAACAAAAAUUAGGUUAAACAAGGAACAUCAACAAAAUGUUUAUUUCCUUCUGAAGCAGGAAGUAACCUAACUACAUUUCCCUGAUUGAGAAAAAAACUCAACUUUAUUUCUAUGUUGUUAACAAUUGAGCCUGGGUGGAGGUCCUUAAAGUAAAGCAUACACGUAAUGUGAUGGCGGCCUGAGACAUUUGCAGAUUCAUACUUCUACUUCCGAUUUAUGCACUUUUUUUUGUAUAUUUAUAGUUUAUGUCUGAGUUGGUAUUCUGCAUUAUUCUGUAUUUUCGUUUGCAAAUGUUUUUAUUCAAUAGACACAAAAAGUUGUUUUUGUUUUGCAAAUGAUUUCGUAUUAUAAGAAUAUAUUUUUAUAACAAUAAUCUAAUGAUUGCUGGGUUGAUAUGAUUGUUUAUGGUUUCAAUAAAAAACAAGAUGAUCUAAACAAGUCA
This is an RNA transcript of Nerophis ophidion (straightnose pipefish), 9009 nucleotides long. It is a transcript of the gene named semaphorin 7A, with no coding region annotated. The transcript has 14 exons. NCBI's taxonomy places the organism in Eukaryota, Metazoa, Chordata, Actinopteri, Syngnathiformes, Syngnathidae. The record is from RefSeq and is a predicted model, not a curated record.